CUGACAGCUUUAGACACUGAAGUUUUCAUUCUCUCCUGACUCCAACAAAAUAGGCUAACCAUUGGCAACAGCACAUUCUUAGCCAAUGUGAUUCAAUCCUGACUUGAAGGGACCACUUUUAGGGCUGAGAGAAUAAUUCAACUGCCAGACUCUUUCAGCCAGGAUCUCUC
RNAcentral lists this small RNA (170 nucleotides) under Chelonoidis abingdonii (Abingdon island giant tortoise). RNAcentral's name for it is "TUC338 (ENSCABG00000022975.1)". Lineage: Eukaryota; Metazoa; Chordata; Testudines; Testudinidae. The record is from RNAcentral.